UACAGGGGGUGCAAACGUUGCUCGGAAUCAUUGGGCGUAAAGCGCGUGUAGGCGGCCCGAUAAGUCCGCUGUGAAAGUCCAGGGCUCAACCCUGGGAUGCCGGUGGAUACUGUCGGGCUCGAGUCCGGAAGAGGCGAGUGGAAUUCCUGGUGUAGCGGUGAAAUGCGCAGAUAUCAGGAGGAACACCAAUGGCGAAGGCAGCUCGCUGGGACGUGACUGACGCUGAGACGCGAAAGCGUGGGGAGCAAACAGG
RNAcentral lists this ribosomal RNA (253 nucleotides) under uncultured bacterium. RNAcentral describes it as "partial 16S ribosomal RNA". It matches the Rfam family "Bacterial small subunit ribosomal RNA", at positions 524 to 776 of the family's 1533-position model. The record is from RNAcentral.